GAUGAACGCUGGCGGCGUGCCUAAUACAUGCAAGUCGAGCGAACGGACGAGAAGCUUGCUUCUCUGAUGUUAGCGGCGGACGGGUGAGUAACACAUGGAUAACCUACCUAUAAGACUGGGAUAACUUCGGGAAACCGGAGCUAAUACCGGAUGAUAUUUUGAACCGCAUGGUUCAAAAGUGAAAGACGGUCUUGCUGUCACUUAUAGAUGGAUCCGCGCUGCAUUAGCUAGUUGGUAAGGUAACGGCUUACCAAGGCAACGAUGCAUAGCCGACCUGAGAGGGUGAUCGGCCACACUGGAACUGAGACACGGUCCAGACUCCUACGGGAGGCAGCAGUAGGGAAUCUUCCGCAAUGGGCGAAAGCCUGACGGAGCAACGCCGCGUGAGUGAUGAAGGUCUUCGGAUCGUAAAACUCUGUUAUUAGGGAAGAACAUAUGUGUAAGUAACUGUGCACAUCUUGACGGUACCUAACCAGAAAGCCACGGCUAACUACGUG
RNAcentral lists this ribosomal RNA (497 nucleotides) under uncultured bacterium. RNAcentral describes it as "partial 16S ribosomal RNA". It matches the Rfam family "Bacterial small subunit ribosomal RNA", at positions 28 to 507 of the family's 1533-position model. The record is from RNAcentral.